GUGCUUGCUUCAACAGGACAUAUACUAAAAAACUGGAGUGAUACAGAGAAGAUUAGCAUGGCCCCUGUGCAAGGAUGACAUGCAAAUUCGUGAAGCGUUCCAUAGUUUU
Molecule: small nuclear RNA, 109 nt
Organism: Lutra lutra (Eurasian river otter)
Lineage: Eukaryota; Metazoa; Chordata; Mammalia; Carnivora; Mustelidae
Source: RefSeq, a predicted model, not a curated record